This 253-nucleotide ribosomal RNA is filed under the name uncultured bacterium. Its description in RNAcentral is "partial 16S ribosomal RNA". It matches the Rfam family "Bacterial small subunit ribosomal RNA", at positions 524 to 776 of the family's 1533-position model. The record is from RNAcentral.
UACAUAAAAUACAAGCGUUAAUCGGAAUUACUAAACAUAAAGCGUACGCAGGCGGUUGUGUAAGACAGAUAUGAAAUCCCCGGGCUCAACCUGGGAACUGCAUUUGUGACUGCACGGCUGGAGUACGGCAGAGGGGGAUGGAAUUCCGCGUGUAGCAGUGAAAUGCGUAGAUAUGCGGAGGAACACCGAUGGCGAAGGCAAUCCCCUGGGCCUGCACUGACGCUCAUGCACGAAAGCGUGGGGAGCAAACAGG